Molecule: ribosomal RNA, 448 nt
Filed under: uncultured bacterium
Lineage: Bacteria
Description: bacterial SSU rRNA
Rfam family: Bacterial small subunit ribosomal RNA
Source: RNAcentral
UCCAGACUCCUACGGGAGGCAGCAGUGGGGGAUAUUGCACAAUGGGGGAAACCCUGAUGCAGCGACGCCGCGUGUGGGAAGACGGUCCUCUGGAUUGUAAACCACUGUCCCCAGGGACGAAAAUGACGGUACCUGACUAAGAAGCCCCGGCUAACUACGUGCCAGCAGCCGCGGUAAUACGUAGGGGGCAAGCGUUAUCCGGAUUUACUGGGUGUAAAGGGAGCGUAGACGGCUGUGCAAGCCAGAUGUGAAAGCCCGGGGCUCAACCCCGGGACUGCAUUUGGAACUGCGUGGCUUGAGUGUCGGAGAGGCAGGCGGAAUUCCUAGUGUAGCGGUGAAAUGCGUAGAUAUUAGGAGGAACACCAGUGGCGAAGGCGGCCUGCUGGACGAUGACUGACGUUGAGGCUCGAAAGCGUGGGGCGCAAACAGGAUUAGAUACCCGAGUACA